This 757-nucleotide long non-coding RNA is filed under the name Salmo salar (Atlantic salmon). RNAcentral's name for it is "lncRNA (ENSSSAG00000086809.1)". The record is from RNAcentral. Lineage: Eukaryota; Metazoa; Chordata; Actinopteri; Salmoniformes; Salmonidae.
UUUUUUGCGCCUGCGCAUAAAUCUGAGAAACGUGAGUUUUGUCUUCAUUGUUUAUCUAGACAUAGGAUAGGUUGUGUGAAAAUAUUACUGAUGUUUAACGUUAAAAAUGGACCAAAAGAUUAAUGCUAAACAACAUUUGACAUGUUUGAACGAACAUAAAUAGAUUAUUUACUAGGUUUUUUAGCUUUUCGGCGUGAUUUUACAGUCCCCCCACCACGUUUUGUGGGAGCAUAAAGAACGCUAAGUACUUGGUGUUAUUUGGACAUAAAUUAUGAACUUUGUCAAAAGAAACCACAUUUGUUCCGGACCUGGGAUGCCUUCCGGACCUGGGAUGCCUGCCUUCUGAUGGAGAUAAUCAAAGGGAAACUGUGUUUUUCAGUUGGUCGGACGGCGGUCAGUUCAAAGAGGAGCGUCACAGAUGACACAACAGUUGUAAGCUUGAUUACCAACAACGACGAGACAGGGAGGAGGUGAGGGCUCUGGGAGUGCGGUGUCAGGAAAAUAACCUCUCACUAAAUGUCAACAAAAAAAAGGAGAUGAUCGUGAACUUCAGGAAACAGCAGAGUGAACCCCCCAUCCACAUCGACGGGACAACAGUGGAGAAGGUGGAAAGUUUUAAGUUCCUUGGCGUACAUAUCACUGACAAAAUGAAAUGGUCCACCCACACAGACAGUGUGGUGAAGAAGGCACAGCAGCGCCUCUUCAACCUCAGGAGGCUGAAGAAAUGUGGCUUGUCACCUAAACCCUCACAAACUUU